AUGUACCACGCGCACACGCCGGUGAUGAGCACGCCGUCCACGCCCGCCUGAACACUGCUCGCCAGGUGUUGUCAGCC
RNAcentral lists this small RNA (77 nucleotides) under Xanthomonas nasturtii. RNAcentral's name for it is "sX9 sRNA". It matches the Rfam family "Xanthomonas sRNA sX9". Lineage: Bacteria; Pseudomonadati; Pseudomonadota; Gammaproteobacteria; Lysobacterales; Lysobacteraceae. The record is from RNAcentral.